UAGCCGUAAACGAUACUCGCUAGGUGUCGGCCACGGUGCGACCGUUGUCGGUGCCGUAGGGAAGCCGUGAAGCGAGCCACCUGGGAAGUACGGCCGCAAGGCUGAGACUUAAAGGAAUUGGCGGGGGAGCACAACAACGGGUGGAGCUUGCGGUUUAAUUGGAUUCAACGCCGGAAAUCUUACCGGGACCGACAGCAACAUGAAGGCCAAGCUGAAGACUUUGCCGGAUUAGCUGAGAGGAGGUGCAUGGCUAGUCGUGU
Molecule: ribosomal RNA, 260 nt
Filed under: uncultured archaeon
Lineage: Archaea
Description: partial 16S ribosomal RNA
Rfam family: Archaeal small subunit ribosomal RNA
Source: RNAcentral